Molecule: long non-coding RNA, 287 nt
Organism: Ctenocephalides felis (cat flea)
Lineage: Eukaryota; Metazoa; Arthropoda; Insecta; Siphonaptera; Pulicidae
Exons: 3
Source: RefSeq, a predicted model, not a curated record
UAAAAGCCUAAUUAUUUUUAUAAGGCUUGCGUUUGGAGAUGUCUCAAAAAAAAACUAGAGCUUAUUAUUUGGAUAUGAAAAUUUAGUUUUCGACAAUGCUAGAAGAUACUAAAGGAUUGGAUUCUAAGUCUCGGUUUAAAUCCUAAAUUGCCUCGAAUAACAUAUGUGAUUAAUAUGAAAGAAUAUCAAGAGGGUUUUAACAGCAAAACAAGGAAUAAAUGAAAGGUGGAAUAGUACAUAUUGGCUACGAUGGAAUUAAGACAAAUUGUGAAUAUUGAAAAUGAAGA